Molecule: RNA transcript, 968 nt
Organism: Carlito syrichta (Philippine tarsier)
Lineage: Eukaryota; Metazoa; Chordata; Mammalia; Primates; Tarsiidae
Gene name: glyceraldehyde-3-phosphate dehydrogenase pseudogene
Exons: 1
Source: RefSeq, a predicted model, not a curated record
GACACCAUGGUGAAGGUGAAGGCUGAAGUGAACAGAUUUGGCGGUAUUGGGAGCCUGGUCACCAGGGCUGCUUUUAAUUCUGGCAAAGUGGAUAAUCUUGCCAUCAAUGACCCCUUUAUUGAUCUCAACUACAUGGUUUACAUGUCCCACUAGGAUUCCAUCCAGGGCAAGUUCCACACACUAUCAAUGUAGAGAACAGGAAGCUUGUCAUCAGUGGAAACCCCAUCCCCAUCUUCCAGAAGUGAGACCUACCAAAAUCAAAUGGGGCAAUGCUGGCGCUGAUUAUGUGGUGGAGUCCACCAUUGUCUUCACUACCUUGGAGAAGGCUAGGGCUCACUUACGGGGGGAGCCAAAAACGUCCUCAUCUCCAUCCUCUCUGCUGAUGUCCCAAUAUUUGUGAUAGGUGCGAACUACAAGAAGUACCAGAACAACCUCACCAUUGUCAGCUGUUGCAGUACCAACUGCUUAGCCCCCUGACCAAGGUCAUCCAUGACAACUUUGGCAUCAUGAUGGGACUCAUGACCACCAUUCAUGCCAUCAUUGCCUGUGGUGUGAUGGCCGCAGGGGCCUUCAAAAUAUCAUCCCUGCAUCCUCCUGUGCUGCCAAGGUCGUGGGCAAGGUCAUCCCUGAGCUGAACAGGAAGCUUAUAGGCGUGGCCUUCCAUGUCCCACAGCCAAUGUGCCAGUUGUGGACCUGACCUGCUAUUUGGAGAAAGCUGCCAAUUAUGAUGACAUCAAGAAGGUGGUGAAGCAGGCAUCUGAGGGCCUCCUCCAGGGCAUCCUGGGCUACACUGAGCACCAGGUUGUGUCCUCUGACUUUAACAGUGACACCUACUCUUCCACCUUUGAUGCUGGGCUGGCAUUGGCCUCAGUAACCACAUUGUCAAGCUCAUCUCUUGGUAUAACAAUGAAUUUGGCCACAACAACAGGAUAGUGGACCUCAUGGCCCACAUGGCCUCCCAGGAGUAA